UAAAAGAAAUAAUUUUUAGUAACUCCUGCUCAAUGAGAUUUUAAUAGCCGCAGUCACCUGUGCUAAGGUAGCAUAAUCAUUUGCCUAAUAAUUAUAGGAUAGGAUGAAAGGAAGCACAUGUAAACUUCUUUAUUAAAAAAAUUUUUUUAACUUCACUAAUAAGUAAAAAGUUCUUAUUUCUUAUAGGAGGACGACAAGACCCUAUCAAACUUUACAGUUAUGUUUAGCUGGGGCGGCAAAAAACUAAACCUUUUCUUAAACCUUUAAAACGCUAGCCUAAUCUUUGAUAUACUAAGGUUACUGUAGGGAUAACAGCAUUAUUUUCCCCUAAAGAUCUUAUACAAGGGAAAGUUUUUGACCUCGAUGUUGAAUUAAUACCCUUUUAGGAGCAAAAUCUUAAGAAGAGAGUCUGUUCGACUUUUAAAACAUU
This 430-nucleotide ribosomal RNA is filed under the name Namea sp. Nardi. RNAcentral describes it as "partial 16S ribosomal RNA". It matches the Rfam family "Archaeal large subunit ribosomal RNA", at positions 1929 to 2668 of the family's 2987-position model. The record is from RNAcentral. Lineage: Eukaryota; Metazoa; Arthropoda; Arachnida; Araneae; Anamidae.